CAAGCCUGGAGGGUGAUGUGCGAUCCUUGGAUGCUCAGGAUAUUCCACCUUUGGUUUCCGUGGAUGAUAUACUGCAGCUGGGAGGUCUGCCUCGAUCAGAGAGUCUUCAAGAAUCUGACCGAGACUGUAACAGUGUAGUGAGUGAGCUAAUUGACCAGUCUGCUUACGAUAUCCGUACUGACCUACCAAACGCGGACCAUUCCUUACCUGAUCAGUUAAGUACUGACUGUGUUGAUGGACACACUAUUGCAACAGUGCACAACACUGUUACCCCUUAUGCAGUUGAAGGUAGUCAGGGUCAUAUUAGGUCAAGGGCAGGAAGGCUAUUUAAACCAGUGUCAAGACUGAUUGAGAUUAUGAAUCAGCAGAAAGUUAGCUCUUGAAGGUAAAAUAUGUGAAUAGAGGGUCAAUGGUAUUGACAUCUUUUAUUUGUUUUGCUUUUACAUCAUUGUGACCAUAAUUAGAGGUUGCAGGAUGGUAAUGUGACAUGAUAAAGUCUCUUAUGGUGGUUUAUUUUAUUACUUGGAUGUUUGAAAGUCACCAAGUGUACUUAACAUGUGACAGGGCAUGUUUACCUAUGAGGGCUAAGGGGUUUGAUCAACCACUUUUCACUCUAAUUCUCAAGGAGAAUAGUCUAAGGACUGGAAUAUUUAGUGACUGAUUUAAAGCAGGGUCUGCAUCCUUGAUAUACACAGCGUUACCUUUUAGUUCUCUAUUAGGUAGUACAUUUUUUUUUCUCUGGAUUAUUCUGUACAUAUGUUGAGUGUCUCUGUAUCUGGUAUGUUUGCACAGUGCCGUUUUGUAUUUUGUUAUUUUUCUUUGCAAGUGGAAUUCAGUAGGGGGGGGAGUGUAACAGGGUUAUAUUGGUGAUUCCCCUUGCCACUUUAUUGUUAAGCCAAUGGGUUUUUGGUUUGAGUUUGUCUUGCCUUCACCUACUCAACAUGGCAUCUUAUUGGCUGGUUUGCGUAGCUUGCUUACGAGGGGGGAUGUUCCAGUUAGAAUCGUCCCAGUGAACAAGCACCAAACCAGCGAUCCUGAAGGAAAUCCCUCCAGAUCUGCAGGAGCGGAUGUGGAACCUGGCAACCCGGGUGGAGGAGCAGCUGACUGGAACACUGGGACCCUGUGGAGGCUUCUCAGAGACAAAUGCUGCUCUAUGUGACUUCAAUGAGUUCCCCUGCAGGGAGGUCCAAUAGGUCCGUAGGCUACCAUCCACCUAUGAUGACACCACAUGAAAUGUUUCUGAUAAAUACAUUUUUUCUACAAUAAAUAUCAACUUAUGUCAUCAUACAUCAAUAAUAUUAGUGAAUAGAUUUAUUAUGUAUAUUCUUUCAGGAUGUUGACAACAUUUACUAUGCCCAGAAUUGUUUGGAAUCUCUCCUUCAACCAAUGGUUCACCAAUAUCUCCAACAAAGACCUCAAACUAGUAAACCUUUUAGCCACAUCCUGAUUUGUUUUUCCAAGUCCUGUUAGAGAGCACACUAUCUCAUGUUAUUAUACAGCUUGAUGCUUCUCUCCCUGAGUUCUCUUGCUCUGAGUCUUGCACUCUCUGGUUCUGUCAUGGAUGUCACAUUCAUAAGUUUUGGCAGUGUGAGCUGAUGAUGGGAUCUUGUGGAUGACCAAACUGUCCGACCCGGUCAGCGCUGCAGGGUCUAGCAGGCCUUAUCAACAGUCCUCACAUGUGCACACAGAGCACUGUGCCCUGGAGGCAGGGCGCCAUACUGACUUCAUAAUCUAGCUGCUGUUGUGUUACUGGUACUGCAGUGCUUUUAGACAAUCACCUGGCUAUGAUGGAGGUCAGGGAAAUUACCUUCACGAGGAGAGAGAAUUUGUGUGUAUGAUAUUC
Molecule: long non-coding RNA, 1843 nt
Organism: Oncorhynchus keta (chum salmon)
Lineage: Eukaryota; Metazoa; Chordata; Actinopteri; Salmoniformes; Salmonidae
Exons: 3
Source: RefSeq, a predicted model, not a curated record